Transfer RNA from Ovis aries (sheep), 72 nucleotides. It matches the Rfam family "tRNA". From Rfam's summary of the family: Transfer RNA (tRNA) molecules are approximately 80 nucleotides in length. Their secondary structure includes four short double-helical elements and three loops (D, anti-codon, and T loops). Lineage: Eukaryota; Metazoa; Chordata; Mammalia; Artiodactyla; Bovidae. The record is from Rfam.
UCCCUGGUAGCUCAGAUGGUAAAGCAUCUGCCUACAAUGCAGGAGACCCUGGUUUGAUCCCUGAGUUGGGAA